AGUGAACGCUGGCGGUAGGCCUAACACAUGCAAGUCGAACGGCAGCACAGUAAGAGCUUGCUCUUACGGGUGGCGAGUGGCGGACGGGUGAGGAAUACAUCGGAAUCUACUUUUUCGUGGGGGAUAACGUAGGGAAACUUACGCUAAUACCGCAUACGACCUACAGGUGAAAGCAGGGGAUCUUCGGACCUUGCGCGAUUGAAUGAGCCGAUGUCGGAUUAGCUAGUUGUCGGGGUAAAGGCCCACCAAGGCGACGAUCCGUAGCUGGUCUGAGAGGAUGAUCAGCCACACUGGAACUGAGACACGGUCCAGACUCCUACGGGAGGCAGCAGUGGGGAAUAUUGGACAAUGGGCGCAAGCCUGAUCCAGCCAUACCGCGUGGGUGAAGAAGGCCUUCGGGUUGUAAAGCCCUUUUGUUGGGAAAGAAAAGCAGCAGGUUAAUACCCCGCUGUUCUGACGGUACCCAAAGAAUAAGCACCGGCUAACUUCGUG
This 492-nucleotide ribosomal RNA is filed under the name uncultured bacterium. Its description in RNAcentral is "partial 16S ribosomal RNA". It matches the Rfam family "Bacterial small subunit ribosomal RNA", at positions 29 to 507 of the family's 1533-position model. The record is from RNAcentral.